This 497-nucleotide ribosomal RNA is filed under the name uncultured bacterium. RNAcentral describes it as "partial 16S ribosomal RNA". It matches the Rfam family "Bacterial small subunit ribosomal RNA", at positions 28 to 507 of the family's 1533-position model. The record is from RNAcentral.
GAUGAACGCUGGCGGCGUGCCUAAUACAUGCAAGUCGAGCGAACGGACGCGAAGCUUGCUUUUCUGAUGUUAGCGGCGGACGGGUGAGUAACACGUGGAUAACCUACCUAUCAGACUGGGAUAACUUCGGGAAACCGGCGCUAAUACCGGAUAAUAUUUUGAACCGCAUGGUUCAAAAGUGAAAGACGGUCUUGCUGUCACUUAUAGAUGGAUCUGCGCUGCAUUAGCUAGUUGGUAAGGUCACGGCUUACCAAGGCAACGAUGCAUAGCCGACCUGAGAGGGUGAUCGGCCACACUAGAGCUGAGACACGGUCCAGAGUCCUACGGGAGGCAGCAGUAGGGAAUCGUCCGCAAUGGGCGAAAGUCUGACGGAGCAGCGCCGCGUGAGUGAUGAAGGUCUUCGGAGCGUAAAACUCGGUUAUUAGGGAAGAACAGAUGUGUAAGUAACUGUGCACAGCGUGACGGUACCUAAUCAGAAAGCCACGGCUAACUACGUG